Molecule: transfer RNA, 73 nt
Filed under: Candidatus Woesearchaeota archaeon
Lineage: Archaea; Nanobdellati; Candidatus Woesearchaeota
Description: tRNA-Gln
Rfam family: tRNA
About the family: Transfer RNA (tRNA) molecules are approximately 80 nucleotides in length. Their secondary structure includes four short double-helical elements and three loops (D, anti-codon, and T loops). Further hydrogen bonds mediate the characteristic L-shaped molecular structure. tRNAs have two regions of fundamental functional importance: the anti-codon, which is responsible for specific mRNA codon recognition, and the 3' end, to which the tRNAs corresponding amino acid is attached (by aminoacyl-tRNA synthetases). tRNAs cope with the degeneracy of the genetic code in two manners: having more than one tRNA (with a specific anti-codon) for a particular amino acid; and 'wobble' base-pairing, i.e. permitting non-standard base-pairing at the 3rd anti-codon position.
Source: RNAcentral
AGCCCCGUGGUGUAGUGGCCAAUCAUAUUGGAUUUUGGAUCCAAUGACCGCGGUUCGAAUCCGCGCGGGGCUA